GCAUGUGGCUUAAUUUGACUCAACGCGGGAAAUCUUACCAGGUCCGGACACACUGAGGAUUGACAGGAAGUAUCGUCUUUUGAAUUCUUUAAGGAUAUGUCGUUUUUAAUGACAUCUUUUAGAUGGAUGAUUCGUGUAAAUAUGCUAGUUCUUUCAUGAUUAUGUGAUAGGUGGUGCAUGGCCGUUCUUAGUUCGUGGAGUGAUCUGUCUGCUUAAUUGCGUUUCACUAAGGCCCCAAAGUUAGCAAAUUAUCAAUCGUUACAGAGUCGACCCCUCACCUUUGAGUGCGCGUCCUAACUUAUAGUACAUGGUGUAAAUGGAUUUGUUUUGGGUACCCAGAAAGCAACGAACGUGACCGCAACGUCUUGUUGUCUCUCUUUGACAGUUAUGGGUUAUCCCAGUCAUGUGUUUAUACUUUUAUGUGUAAAUACGUACGACACAGAGACUAGAUACCAAACUAGGCGUACCGCUGUAUCAUUUCUUUAAACCAGAGGAAGGUUGCGGCAAUAACAG
Molecule: ribosomal RNA, 513 nt
Filed under: Neogloboquadrina incompta
Lineage: Eukaryota; Foraminifera; Rotaliida; Globorotaliidae
Description: bacterial SSU rRNA
Rfam family: Eukaryotic small subunit ribosomal RNA
Source: RNAcentral